Long non-coding RNA from Coregonus clupeaformis (lake whitefish), 1004 nucleotides. RefSeq lists it as uncharacterized. The transcript is spliced from 8 exons. The record is from RefSeq and is a predicted model, not a curated record. NCBI's taxonomy places the organism in Eukaryota, Metazoa, Chordata, Actinopteri, Salmoniformes, Salmonidae.
UUGAAGGGUGGUUUCGAGGGAACCCUAAAAUGGGACAUACUCACUGGCAUGCUCCACUUGUCUGGAGGGUUCUCACUCACUGGUUAUCAAGUAUGCCGAUAAGGAUGAGUUUUGCAGUCUCUCCCACUUCCAAGUGCUGCCCACAAAUCAGGCCAACACGUUGAUAGUCUCGGGGUCAGGCUUGGAGUCAGAAACUUGCGCCCAAACUUCCCAGACCUUCACUAUUGACUGUAGCAAGACGGGAGAGGCCCCAGAGUAAGAUGGAGCUUGUGGAGGUGACAGACAAUGGGGAUGGAACCUUCUCAGUGGCCUACUCCCCUUCCAAUGGAGGGCCCUCACUCUCUAGUGGUCAAAUAUGCAGAUGAAGAUGAAUUCUGCAGUCCCUUCAACUUACAUGUGAAACCCUCUAAUGAUGCCAACAAGUUGAAAGUGUCUACUCCAGUUUUGGAGUCAUGAGUUUGUGCCAAGAUACCUCAGACCUUCACCAUAGACUAUAGCAAGACUGGAGAGGUCCCAGAAGCUGUGGCUGUCAUGACGACAAGUGGUAAAAUGGAGCUUCUGGAUGUGACAGACAAUGGAGAUGGGACAUACUCAGUGGCCUACUCCCCUUCUAUGGAGGGUUCUCACUCUCUGGUUGUUAAAUAUGUCGAUGAGGAUGAAUUUUGCAGUCUCUCCAACUUCCAAGUGCUGCCCACAAAUCAGGCCAACAAGUUGAAAGUCAGGAAUUUGUGUCAAAACUCCCCAGACUUUCACCAUUGACUGUAGCAAGACUGGAGAGGCUCCAGAGUCUGUUGCUGUUAUGACACCUAGUGGUAAGAUGGAGCUUGUGGAGGUGACAGACAAUGGAGAUGGAACCUACUCUGUGGCCUACUCCCCUUCCAUGGAGGGUCCUCAUUCUCUGGUGGUCAAAUAUGCUGAUGAAAAUGAGUUUUCCAGAUUGCGGUCAUCUUGCUGUUUAAACUAAUCGAGCUGACCCUGGGAGAACUGCAAACUGUUCUUCAGGC